GUGAACGCUGGCGGUAGGCCUAACCCAUGCAAGUCGAACGGCAGCACCGUAAGAGCUUGCUCUUACGGGUGGCGAGUGGCGGACGGGUGAGGAAUACAUCGGAAUCUACUUUUUCGUGGGGGAUAACGUAGGGAAACUUACGCUAAUACCGCAUACGACCUACGGGUGAAAGCAGGGGAUCUUCGGACCUUGCGCGAUUGAACGAGCCGAUGUCGGAUUAGCUAGUUGGCGGGGUAAAGGCCCACCAAGGCGACGAUCCGUAGCUGGUCUGAGAGGAUGAUCAGCCACACUGGAACUGAGACACGGUCCAGACUCCUACGGGAGGCAGCAGUGGGGAAUAUUGGACAAUGGGCGCAAGCCUGAUCCAGCCAUACCGCGUGGGUGAAGAAGGCCUUCGGGUUGUAAAGCCCUUUUGUUGGGAAAGAAAAGCAGCAGGUUAAUACCCCGCUGUUCUGACGGUACCCAAAGAAUAAGCACCGGCUAACUUCGUG
This 491-nucleotide ribosomal RNA is filed under the name uncultured bacterium. Its description in RNAcentral is "partial 16S ribosomal RNA". It matches the Rfam family "Bacterial small subunit ribosomal RNA", at positions 29 to 507 of the family's 1533-position model. The record is from RNAcentral.